AUUAUUCCAAUUUACCCCUUCCGCAUCCUCUGUCCAGCAAAGUCCAGCAGCCAUCUUUCUUCUCUUUUUUCUAUCCCCAAAUCGGCAGGUUCCGAACCCUAGCCACCGCCGCGGGUCCUCAGGCGCGUUCCACAGCGUGGCGUCGCGGCACCAGCGGCCGCCGCCCCCUCGCUCGAGCGGAGCACUCCUCCAAUCCCGCACCGCACGCGCGCCUCGCUCCCUCCUUGCCCGGCCUGGCGGCCUCGCUCCCUCCCUGCCCGUCUCGUCUUCUGGAGGUGCCAGCACGCCUCCAGCUCGCCCGGUCCCGCCUUGUCCUCCCGGCGCAGGGGCCGGCGACCUGAAGGAUCGGCGGCGCCCUCACCACCGAAGCUGUUUGCGCGUUUUGCACCCUGUCGUCUUUAUUGGAGCAAGCAUAAGUCUGACGUUGUCACCUCAAGUACCUCGGAUCUUCUUCUUUAUUUUUGAAAGACGGCACCUCUGAUCUUCAUGUGAGCUGAAUUCUGCAUCGUACUCAGCUCGUAUCUUGGUUUGCAGAUGAGUUUGCUAUUUGGUUGCGUUUGCUUAUACUUGGCCAUCUGAUGUGCUUUUCUUGAGUGAAAGCAUCUGAUGUGCUUUGGAUGGUUGAUACUAGUCGCUGUCAGAAAGCAAUCAGGUGUCUACCGUACAAAAUGGGUGCCACUCCGGUCAAGUUCCGCCACCGAUGCGCCGUGCGUUGUAUAUGUACUGGAGUCUUCCUUGUUAUAUGCAGAUAAAGUAUUGUUCUUGAUUGUAAUGGCGUAGAAGGGAUAUCAUUCAUCUUUUUUCUUGUAGGGUAGUAUUGUCUUUUCCCUCUUGAGUUAACACUUGUGCUAUGACAGCAAUGGCACACGAGGGAUGGAGUUAAAUUUUGAUGGCAUGUAAGGGGUAAAGGGGGAUUUUCUCCAUGAAAAAUGCCCUUAUUCUUUCAAUUAUUUUUAAAGAACCCUGAGCCGGACCCAGAUAGGUGCAUGAGCUCAAAAGCAGCUUCGUUUUACAGCACAUCGGGGUGUACCGUAAGCACAACCGGGUUCGUUCCACGGUGUCACUGUGACGGAUGGCUACUUGUUUAUGGUUGAAUUGGCAGUGCGGGGCUGUUUGGUUGUGAUCCUGGAG
This 1131-nucleotide long non-coding RNA is filed under the name Setaria viridis. Its description in RNAcentral is "long non-coding RNA (SVIR_LNC003710)". Lineage: Eukaryota; Viridiplantae; Streptophyta; Magnoliopsida; Poales; Poaceae. The record is from RNAcentral.